Molecule: ribosomal RNA, 301 nt
Filed under: uncultured bacterium
Lineage: Bacteria
Description: partial 16S ribosomal RNA
Rfam family: Bacterial small subunit ribosomal RNA
Source: RNAcentral
CAGCAGCCGCGGUAAUACGGAGGGGGCUAGCGUUGUUCGGAAUUACUGGGCGUAAAGCGCACGUAGGCGGCUUGGUAAGUUAGAGGUGAAAGCCCGGAGCUCAACUCCGGAAUUGCCUUUAAGACUGCCGAGCUAGUAGGUGAGAGAGGUAAGUGGAAUUCCGAGUGUAGAGGUGAAAUUCGUAGAUAUUCGGAAGAACACCAGUGGCGAAGGCGGCUUACUGGCUCAUUCUAGACGCUGAGGUGCGAAAGCGUGGGGAGCAAACAGGAUUAGAGACCCCCGUAGUCCCUGUCUCUUAUAC